UCUUAUUCCCCAACCAGAGAUGGAGCCCCAACUGCCUCCUUUCUUUGGGAGCUCAGAGUCUUAGCUACUGGAUCACCAGGAAAGUCCAGGGCAUAUGUUCUUAUUUCUCUUGGAUUAAUACUAAGAAGUGGAACUGUUGGAUCAUAUGGCAGAUGCAGCACUGACCGGAGUGGAAUUUUGUUAAAGCCCUCGGGAUAGGUAUUGCCUUGCUGGUCCUGGCUCUGCCAACUCAAACUGUUGGAUCACAUGUAUUGCAGGAAAUUCCAAGAUAUUCCUCGUGUGCCGCGACUACUGAGCCAGUGAGCCACAGUUACUUAAGCCCACGCACCUAGAGCUUGUGCUCCACCAGAGAAGCCACUGCAAUGAGAAGCCCUGGCAUUGCAGCUUGAGAGUAGCUCCCACUUUCCACAAUCAGAGGAAGACCUAGUGCAGCAACGAAGACCCAGUGCAGCCAAAAAUAAAAAUAAAUACAUUUUCAAAAGGUCG
Long non-coding RNA from Bos taurus (domestic cattle), 486 nucleotides. The record is from Ensembl. Lineage: Eukaryota; Metazoa; Chordata; Mammalia; Artiodactyla; Bovidae.